AACGAACGCUGGCGGCAUGCCUAACACAUGCAAGUCGAACGAGACCUUCGGGUCUAGUGGCGCACGGGUGCGUAACGCGUGGGAACCUGCCCUUAGGUUCGGAAUAACUCCCCGAAAGGGGUGCUAAUACCGGAUAAUGUCUUCGGACCAAAGAUUUAUCGCCUUUGGAUGGGCCCGCGUUGGAUUAGCUAGUUGGUAGGGUAAAAGCCUACCAAGGCGACGAUCCAUAGCUGGUCUGAGAGGAUGAUCAGCCACACUGGGACUGAGACACGGCCCAGACUCCUACGGGAGGCAGCAGUGGGGAAUAGUGGAAAAUGGGCGAAAGGAUGAUCCAGCAAUGACGCGUGAGUGAUGAAGGCCUUAGGGUUGUAAAGCUCUUUUAACCGGGAUGAUAAUGACAGUACCGGGAGAAUAAGCUCCGGCUAACUACGUG
This 433-nucleotide ribosomal RNA is filed under the name uncultured bacterium. RNAcentral's name for it is "partial 16S ribosomal RNA". It matches the Rfam family "Bacterial small subunit ribosomal RNA", at positions 29 to 507 of the family's 1533-position model. The record is from RNAcentral.